RNAcentral lists this ribosomal RNA (253 nucleotides) under uncultured bacterium. Its description in RNAcentral is "partial 16S ribosomal RNA". It matches the Rfam family "Bacterial small subunit ribosomal RNA", at positions 524 to 776 of the family's 1533-position model. The record is from RNAcentral.
GACGAACCGAGCGAACGUUAUUCGGAAUCACUGGGCUUAAAGGGCGCGUAGGCGGGCCGGCAAGUCAGGGGUGAAAGCCCCCAGCUCAACUGGGGAAGUGCCUUUGAUACUGCCGGCCUCGAGGGAGGUAGGGGCGUGCGGAACUUCCGGUGGAGCGGUGAAAUGCGUAGAUAUCGGAAGGAACACCGGUGGCGAAAGCGGCGCGCUGGACCUCUUCUGACGCUGAGGCGCGAAAGCCAGGGGAGCGAACGGG